ACGCUGGCGGCGUGCCUAAUACAUGCAAGUCGAACGAGAGCGACCGGUGCUUGCACUGGUCAAUCUAGUGGCGAACGGGUGAGUAACACGUGGGUAACCUGCCCAUCAGAGGGGGAUAACAUUCGGAAACGGAUGCUAAAACCGCAUAGGUCUUCGAACCGCAUGGUUUGAAGAGGAAAAGAGGCGCAAGCUUCUGCUGAUGGAUGGACCCGCGGUGCAUUAGCUAGUUGGUGAGGUAACGGCUCACCAAGGCCGUGAUGCAUAGCCGACCUGAGAGGGUGAUCGGCCACAUUGGGACUGAGACACGGCCCAAACUCCUACGGGAGGCAGCAGUAGGGAAUCUUCCGCAAUGGACGCAAGUCUGACGGAGCAACGCCGCGUGAGUGAAGAAGGUUUUCGGAUCGUAAAACUCUGUUGUUAGAGAAGAACAAGUGCUAGAGUAACUGUUAGCGCCUUGACGGCAUCUAACCAGAGAGCCACGGCUAACUACGUGCCAGCAGCCGCGGUAAUACGUAGGUGGCAAGCGUUGUCCGGAUUUAUUGGGCGAAAAGCGAGCGCAGGCGGUUCCUUAAGUCUGAUGUGAAAGCCCCCGGCUCAACCGGGGAGGGUCAUUGGAAACUGGGGAACUUGAGUGCAGAAGAGGAGAGUGGAAUUCCAUGUGUAGCGGUGAAAUGCGUAGAUAUAUGGAGGAACACCAGUGGCGAAGGCGACUCUCUGGUCUGUAACUGACGCUGAGGCUCGAAAGCGUGGGUAGCAAACAGGAUUAGAUACCCUGGUAGUCCACGCCGUAAACGAUGAGUGCUAAGUGUUGGAGGGUUUCCGCCCUUCAGUGCUGCAGUUAACGCAUUAAGCACUCCGCCUGGGGAGUACGACCGCAAGGUUGAAACUCAAAGGAAUUGACGGGGACCCG
Molecule: ribosomal RNA, 910 nt
Filed under: uncultured bacterium
Lineage: Bacteria
Description: bacterial SSU rRNA
Rfam family: Bacterial small subunit ribosomal RNA
Source: RNAcentral